Molecule: unclassified non-coding RNA, 185 nt
Filed under: plant metagenome
Description: partial contains small subunit ribosomal RNA and internal transcribed spacer 1
Rfam family: Eukaryotic small subunit ribosomal RNA (bases 1-46)
Source: RNAcentral
AAGUCGUAACAAGGUUUCCGUAGGUGAACCUGCGGAAGGAUCAUUAAUGAAAUGCAAGGACGCUCUUUUUAGAGGUCCAACCCAUUUGAUUUUCUCACACUGUGCACACACUACCUUUACACCUUUUUAAACACAAGUCAUUAGAAUGCAAUCAAGUCUCGUAAUAGAGCAUAAAGUUAAUACAA